AAGUGAUUUGCCCAGAGUCACACAACUAGUAAAUGUCUCAGGCAAGAUUUGGACUCAGCCCUUCCUAAUUCCAUUUCCAGAGCUCUACCCACCACAUAACCUACAUGAUCCAUCUUCUUCCAUGUCUGGUCCACAAGAUCAUACCCUUUCCUGCUGGCAGUUCAGACUAGUGACUGCCUUUUUGUCAUUUACAGAGAUCCAGUUGCUAGACAUUUACCAGCCCUUCCUACAAAUAACUGAAGAGGUUGAACAAGUUUAACUACUUACUAAAUGACGUACUCAGGCUCCUAGCUCCCA
RNAcentral lists this long non-coding RNA (297 nucleotides) under Phascolarctos cinereus (koala). RNAcentral describes it as "lncRNA (ENSPCIG00000032430.1)". The record is from RNAcentral. Lineage: Eukaryota; Metazoa; Chordata; Mammalia; Diprotodontia; Phascolarctidae.